This 1063-nucleotide ribosomal RNA is filed under the name Candidatus Uzinura diaspidicola. RNAcentral's name for it is "bacterial SSU rRNA". It matches the Rfam family "Bacterial small subunit ribosomal RNA", at positions 124 to 1188 of the family's 1533-position model. Lineage: Bacteria; Pseudomonadati; Bacteroidota; Flavobacteriia; Flavobacteriales. The record is from RNAcentral.
AUCUACCUCUAGCUGGGGUAUAGCUGGAAGAAAUUCUAAUUAAUCCCCCAUAAUAUGAAGGCUCUGCAUGGAGCCCUCAUUAAAGCCUUGGCGGCAAGAGAUGAGCCUGCGCCUGAUUAUGUUAGUUGGAGAGGUAAUAGCUCACCAAGACUAUGAUCAGUAGGGGACCUGAGAGGGUGAACCUCCACACUGGAACUGAGAUACGGCCCAGACUUCUACGGAAGGCAGCAGUGAGGAAUAUUGGUCAAUGGAGGUAACUCUGAACCAGCUACGCCGCGUGAAGGAUGAAAGCCUUUUUGGCUGUAAACUUCUUUUGUUUAGAAAUAAAAUCUCCUACGUGAUAGGAGCCUGAAGGUACUAUACGAAUAAGUGUCGGCUAAUUCCGUGCCAGCAGCCGCGGUAAGACGGGAGACACCAGCGUUAUUCGGAUUUAUUGGGUUUAAAGGGUGUGUAGGCUGUUUUUUAAGUCAGUAGUGAAAGCUUACAGCUUAACUGUAAAAUUGCUAUUGAUACUGUAAAACUUGAGUAAGAUUGGAGCAUCUGGAAUGUAUGGUGUAGCGGUGAAAUGCAUAGAUAUCAUACAGAACACCAAUAGCGAAGGCAGGAUGCUAAAUCUUUACUGACGCUGAGGCACGAAAGCGUGGGUAGCAAACAGGAUUAGAUACCCUGGUAGUCCACGCCCUAAACGAUGAUCACUAGCUAUUGGAAAUAUUAUAUUCAGUGGCUAAGCGAAAGCGAUAAGUGAUUCACCUGGGGAAUAUAAUCGCAAGAUUGAAACUCAAAGGAAUUGACGGGGUUCCGCACAAGCGGUGGAGCAUGUGGUUUAAUUCGAUGAUACGCGAGGAACCUUACCAAGGCUUAAAUGUAUUACGAAUAAACUGGAAACAGUUUAGUCUUAUGACGGAAUACAAGGUGCUGCAUGGUUGUCUUCAGUUCGUGCUGUGAAGUGUUUGGUUCAGUCCUAUAACGAGCGCAACCCCUAUUGUUAGUUGCCAUCAGGUAAUGCUGGGGACUCUAACAAAACUGCCGGCGCAAGCCGUGAGGAAGGUGGGGAUAAUGUCAA